This 377-nucleotide ribosomal RNA is filed under the name uncultured bacterium. RNAcentral's name for it is "bacterial SSU rRNA". It matches the Rfam family "Bacterial small subunit ribosomal RNA", at positions 28 to 399 of the family's 1533-position model. The record is from RNAcentral.
GACGAACGCUGGCGGCGUGCCUAACACAUGCAAGUGGAGCGACGAACCAGGGCUUGCCCUGGGGCCAAGCCGCGAACGGGUGAGUAUCACGUGGGUAACCUGCCCCGAUGACCGGGACAACCCGAGGAAACUCGGGCUAAUACCGGAUGUGGUGUACACACACAAGUGUGUCCACUAAAGGAAGCUUCGGCCUCCACAUUGGGAUGGGCCCGCGGCCCAUUAGCUUGUUGGUGGGGUAAUGGCCACCAAGGCAACGAUGGGUAGCUGGUCUGAGAGGACGAUCAGCCACACUGGGACUGAGACACGGCCCAGACUCCUACGGGAGGCAGCAGUGGGGAAUCUUGCGCAAUGCGCGAAAGCGUGACGCAGCAACGCCG